GGCUGAUCACUGAUCGGUGCACCUGAACUACGAAAGACGCUGUGGCCGGUGUGGGAAUGAGGUGAGAAUGGUGCAAACUUUAAGUGUAUGGACGGCGUCAUCCAACAAACGGAAAGCGCUGUCAGGCCACAGCCCACGGUUUUUGAAGUGAUGAGAUAUUAAAAAGCUAAAUGUACUGCAGCAUUCAAGAGGGAAAAAAAAUGAUCUGCAAUCCACCAACCGGUACACAUGAAGGAACUGAAUUUACUACUGUAAUAUCCAAGGUGUAGAAAUGGAGAUCCCUUCUGAAGUAAAACCAUGAGCUCUCAUUAACUAAGGCAACAGGAAAGGCAGCGGUUCUUAACGGAUAUCAAGAAAAGAAGAAAAAUCGAUUCAAAUAAAAGCAGCGCGCGCGCGCCUAAAGCUGAAGCGCAGGAGUGAAGUUUCCAUCCGCAGGCCUGAUUCAUGAAUUGAGUGUCACUUGUGUCACAAGGCGAGGCGGGCGGGUGUGACUGCGCAGAAGCUCAAACCACGGAAUAUUGAAUGAGUGAAAAAAAUUAGCAGUAAUUUGACACGCCGACUACAUAUUCCACAAAACCACCUCAAGAACGGGCUGCCUAAAAAUAAAUUUUAAUUACGGUGAAGGGAACAAAACUAUUUCAAAAAUUUGCUUGGGCGGUCAAAGCAGCUUUUAGACUCCUGCCACAUCUUCGCGCUUUACUGACAGCUGCCGAGAUGGACGUGACUGGUCACACGGUUCCACUUUCUACAUCUCCACUUAAAGCUGUGGUCUUCUCCUAAUGUUUUUGUCCUCACUCUGAAAUGGUGUUUGUGAUGGACUAAUACCAUUUCCUGGACUGGUUCCUGCCUUCACUAGUAUUCAUGAGAAAGGAUCCAGCUCCUUGACCCAGAAUUAGAUUAAGCAGGGUGCCAUCUUUGAUGUCCAGGAGAAAAUACAGUAGUAUCUAUACAAGAAGAAGAGUCAUGAUAUUCUCAAAUGGCUGACUUUUGAUUUCACUGUUUUAUAACUUUUGGGGCUAGCUGUUUGUAGAAGUUUGCUAAGUUUGAAGAAGACUAUACAGUAUGCUAUUGGUGAAACCUUGAAUGAACACAUGGGAAAAACGUAUGCCCAGUUUUGAAAAUAUCUCUCAGGAAGAUAUGGAUCCAUUAAAUGAAUCAAAACUGAAUCUGGAAACAGCGACCAUAUUCAAAUCAUACUUGUAUUUCCUUAACAAUGGGUGAAGAGUCUUGAGCAGCCUAUCAAAUAUGUUUAAGAGGAUUUUUAUAAAGAAAAAUUGGACAUAUAUUUGGCUUCAAGUACAGUCUGAUUCCACUUCCUGGUACAGCUCAGAAUCCUGUUUCAUAUAUACUGUAUGGAUAUAAAGUAUAACUGUGCAGCAACUAUUUAAACAAUAUUGUUGCUGUUGUUCAUCAGAAACAGACAUUAUAGGAUAAAAUAAGGAUUAUGGAGACUUGAAACGGGAAGACACUUGGUUUAGAAGUUUCGAAAUGGUGACUUCCAGAUAAUUAUGUAAACUGGCAUUGCUGAAAUACUUGACAUAUAGAAGGAGUCAUCAUCAAAUCAAAUUUGGAAAACGAAUUCCCUGUGGAUGAUCAUGCUUCCCAGUUUCUAAAUUUGCUGCGUUCCUGGAUCCCAUAUUUCUUAUAUCACCACCAGGAUGAUAGGCACAGCCGAUCUUGGAACAGUUAACCAUAACAUCAUCAGCACAUCUACAAGAGUAAAAACUGACAGAUGAAGCAUACACCCACUCAACUAUCUACCAUAUAAUAUCUUUCUCAUGUGUAGACAUUGUUCUCUCCUUUGUUAAUUUGGUUUAUUGAAAUAACAACUUGUUGAAGUUCCUCAUUUUCUUUUAAACUCUACUCUAUUUUGUAUAUAUAUAUAUAUAUAUUUAUGUAUGUAUUUAUUUAUGUUUGUAACACAGUAGGAAAGGUUUGAGGUAACAUUGUGACUAACUACAUUAAAUAAACUAAAAUGAGGAUUUAGCUUGCUUUUAUCACUAACUGAUGUGCUUGUCAGUAAACAACACUACCAAUGCAGUUAUCUUGUCUUCUGGAUUUGUGCCCAUAAUAUUGAUACUAGACUAGUGGGUCCCUGAAUUUGUAUACAUGGUCAUGUGGCCAAUAUUAUAACUCUUUGUCUAUUUAAGUUUAAAACUGAAAUUUUGAUGAAUUCUUUAAAAUUACUUCAGAAGGAAGCACUAAUUUAUACUCAAACAGCCUUAAGAUAUCUCACACAUGCUAGAUCAUGCCUUCCUGUUUUUAAAUGCAGGCUACAUUUCCAAAUGUCUGUUGCUCAAGAAGCAAAUUAUUUCCAUAAAUGCUAUUUGGGUAUUUCUAGAAAUAAAGUGUGUUGGGUUUUGUUGCAUUGUA
This is a long non-coding RNA of Polypterus senegalus (gray bichir), 2373 nucleotides long. RefSeq lists it as uncharacterized. The record is from RefSeq and is a predicted model, not a curated record. Lineage: Eukaryota; Metazoa; Chordata; Cladistia; Polypteriformes; Polypteridae. The transcript has 7 exons.